CAGUAGCCGCGGUAAUACGUAGGGGGCAAGCGUUAUCCGGAAUUACUGGGUGUAAAGGGAGCGUAGACGGUUAAACAAGUCUGAAGUGAAAUGCCGGGGCUCAACCCCGGAGCUGCUUUGGGAACUGUAGAACUGGAGUGUCGGAGGGGUAAGCGGAAUUCCCAGUGUAGCGGUGAAAUGCGUAGAUAUUGGGAGGAACACCGGCGGCGAAGGCGGCUUACUGGACGACAACUGACGUUGAGGCUCGAAGGCGUGGGUAGCAAACAGGAUUAGAUACCCCAGUAGUCCCUGUCUCUUAUAC
Molecule: ribosomal RNA, 301 nt
Filed under: uncultured bacterium
Lineage: Bacteria
Description: partial 16S ribosomal RNA
Rfam family: Bacterial small subunit ribosomal RNA
Source: RNAcentral